This 360-nucleotide non-coding RNA is filed under the name Pongo abelii (Sumatran orangutan). Lineage: Eukaryota; Metazoa; Chordata; Mammalia; Primates; Hominidae. The record is from RNAcentral.
GUCCCAGGGGCGCCGCAGGAUUGCAGAACCCUAGAAAGCUUGGGCUUCUCUGAUCCUGAGAGCAGCACUUUGACCUCGCCCUCAACACUCCACCUCUCUGACUGUCACCCAAGAGGAGUAGCUUCUCCCAGCAGGCUCCGCUCCUCCCAUCGUUUCGUGCUCAAUGGCAAGGCCUUUCUUGACACUAUGCAAUCAGAUCAAAUUCAGAAGAUGAUGAGUGGAUGCAGCUACUACACUCCUUGGUUUCAAAUUUUGUGCUAGUUGAAACUGCCUCAUUGCUCUCAUUGAUUUUCUUUGUAACAGAUAAAUGCUAUUAAAUUGAAUUGCAAAAUAUAUAAUAAAAUACCACGAUUACUUGCA